GACGAACGCUGGCGGCGUGCUUAACACAUGCAAGUCGAACGGUGAAGCGCCUUCCUUUUUGGUGGGUGUGGAUGAGUGGCGAACGGGUGAGUAACACGUGAGUAACCUGCCCCCUUCUUCUGGAUAACCGCAUGAAAGUGUGGCUAAUACGGGAUAUUCUGGGUCUGUCGCAUGAUGGGUCUGGGAAAGAUAUUGUUUCGGUGGGGGAUGGGCUCGCGGCCUAUCAGCUUGUUGGUGGGGUGAUGGCCUACCAAGGCGGUGACGGGUAACCGGCCUGAGAGGGUGGACGGUCACACUGGGACUGAGACACGGCCCAGACUCCUACGGGAGGCAGCAGUGGGGAAUAUUGCACAAUGGGCGCAAGCCUGAUGCAGCGACGCCGCGUGAGGGAUGGAGGCCUUCGGGUUGUGAACCUCUUUCGCCAGUGAAGCAGGCCUGCCUCGUUUGUGGGUGGGUUGACGGUAGCUGGAUAAGAAGCGCCGGCUAACUACGUG
Molecule: ribosomal RNA, 494 nt
Filed under: uncultured bacterium
Lineage: Bacteria
Description: partial 16S ribosomal RNA
Rfam family: Bacterial small subunit ribosomal RNA
Source: RNAcentral